This 301-nucleotide ribosomal RNA is filed under the name uncultured bacterium. RNAcentral describes it as "partial 16S ribosomal RNA". It matches the Rfam family "Bacterial small subunit ribosomal RNA", at positions 509 to 807 of the family's 1533-position model. The record is from RNAcentral.
CAGCCGCCGCGGUAAUACGAAGGGGGCUAGCGUUGCUCGGAAUGACUGGGCGUAAAGGGCGCGUAGGCGGCGGCCAAAGUCAGGCGUGAAAUUCCCGGGCUCAACCUGGGGGCUGCGCUUGAUACUUGGUUGCUUGAGUGGGGAAGAGGGUCGUGGAAUUCCCAGUGUAGAGGUGAAAUUCGUAGAUAUUGGGAAGAACACCGGUGGCGAAGGCGGCGACCUGGUCCUUUACUGACGCAGAGGCGCGAAAGCGUGGGGAGCAAACAGGAUUAGAUACCCCUGUAGUCCCUGUCUCUUAUAC